CGGGGGGGGCAAGCGUUGUUCGGAAUUACUGGGCGUAAAGGGCGCGUAGGCGGCCUGCUAAGUCGGACGUGAAAUCCCUCGGCUCAACCGGGGAACUGCGUCCGAUACUGGUGGGCUCGAAUCCGGGAGAGGGAUGUGGAAUUCCAGGUGUAGCGGUGAAAUGCGUAGAUAUCUGGAGGAACACCGGUGGCGAAGGCGGCAUCCUGGACCGGUAUUGACGCUGAUGCGCGAAAGCCAGGGGAGCAAACGGGAUUAGAUACCCCGGUAGUCCUGGCCCUAAACGAUGAGUGCUUGGUGUGGCGGGUAUCGAUCCCUGCCGUGCCGAAGCUAACGCAUUAAGCACUCCGCCUGGGGGAGUACGGUCGCAAGGCUG
RNAcentral lists this ribosomal RNA (373 nucleotides) under uncultured organism. RNAcentral describes it as "bacterial SSU rRNA". It matches the Rfam family "Bacterial small subunit ribosomal RNA", at positions 526 to 896 of the family's 1533-position model. The record is from RNAcentral.